Molecule: long non-coding RNA, 1518 nt
Filed under: Anser cygnoides (Swan goose)
Lineage: Eukaryota; Metazoa; Chordata; Aves; Anseriformes; Anatidae
Description: lncRNA (ENSACDG00005005174.1)
Source: RNAcentral
AUGAUUCAAGCCACAGCGCAGCUAAGUUUCCAUGACUCCCUAUGGUCCCUUUUUGUGAGCUACGUUCUGGUCAAGCCUUGUGUUGAAUUUCCUUUCCUUGGAAGUCAAGGAGCUAAUGAGGCUGCUUCAUCCUUCAGCUUCAUCUGGAUAUACAGUGGAGCUUCUCUCCUUCCAAAGCGGAGAGCGGUGCAGUCCCUGCAAGCGUGGAGUCAGAGAGGAAGGAUGUACUCUGCACAGUGGGCAAGACUUUUUGAAGUAACCAGAACAGCAACAACAAAAUUAAUGAAGGAUUGCUCAGAAAAUUGCAGUCUUGACUGGGGCGAUAUGUGUCACUUGUACUCAUGGACAGAAAAAAAACAGAAAGAGAAAGAGGUAAAUUCUGCAGAUGAACCAGUACAAUGGCAAAUAAUGGAAGAAAAGAGAAGAGAAGCCACAGAACAGAGGCCAGUGCACAAUGUACAGGGUGAUGGAUACAGCAUCUGGUAUGAUCUCAGGAAAAACAAAAAUAAAUACCUAUAUAUAACACCCGAAGUAUUAGUGCUCUCAGCAUAGGUAUUCCAAUGAAGUGCCUACUUUUAGAGGUGGAUAUUUUAUAUUUUAUUAUUUUAUUUAUUUUAAUAUUACAAACAUAGCCAAAACUUACAAAGGAAGCUGAAAGAAUUGAAGCAUGGUAUUAGAAGGUUUCUUUCAGUCACCUGAAGAGCCAAAGGUUUUAUUUCUUUAACAGCUGUCUUAGAAAAUUUGGCUUUUUGACCCAUAACAUGUCCCCAAAGGAAAAUGUGAAGUAGGAAUAUUUCUGUCUCCAUGUAGAGAGGGAAUAUUGACUAUGUUGUUAAAGUUUAAGCUCUUUAGGAAGUAACACAUGCUGGCAGUUUUCCAACAUAAGAAAAACUAAUGGUACUUUUUUACCACCACCUUUUGGAAUAUAAGCUAAUCAGAUCCUGAAGUAUUUCAUCAAAUACUGAUGACCUUAUUAAGAUGCCUUCCAGGAAGAAAAUUAUUAAAGGGCAUAGAAUUUGUGGCAGGCAAGGUACUAUUCUAUGAGUGAUCAUGGUGAAUUCUACGCAGUGUAAAUAGGAACCCCAAAGAAAAUCAAGUACGCAAUUUCUUUUCACAGAACUCUCUAAUCCACCAUGAAUAACAAAAAUAUUAAUGGAAAUUUCAAAAACAGAUUUUUUUUUGCACUAGUUCCUAAAGAAUAAGACAAUAACUUUAAACUAACAACUUAAGUAUUAUUAUUUAAACUGAAAUAAUAUAACUAGGACAAAUACCCUUUACAAAAGAACUGGAACCUUCCAAAUCUAAAAUUCAGAGCCAGUGAAAAACUGAAGAAUACAUUGAAUUCUGAAACAAAGAAGAAUAUUCAGUCACUGAAAUGCUAUGAAUCUUAAAGAACUGCUAAAAUAUUUUCUAGAAGAAAUAUUUUCUUCCAGAUUAAACGUAUCAAAGCCAUAAUAGUUUCUCUUGACAUAUAAGGAUGAAAAUAAAAAGAAGACCUUCAAGAAUAGGCUGUUACUG